This 913-nucleotide long non-coding RNA is filed under the name Homo sapiens (human). RNAcentral describes it as "HSALNT0042857". The record is from RNAcentral. Lineage: Eukaryota; Metazoa; Chordata; Mammalia; Primates; Hominidae.
AAAGACCUCUCCUCAUCUGUGAACGGACAAGUGGCCGACUCUGGAGCCCAGGCUGUUGCUUGCCAGUCUGGUGGUGAAUCCUCCAUAGUCUGAUGCAGCAGAAGGCCCUCACCAGAUCCCAAAUAUGAGUGCUUUGAUCUUGGACUUCCCAGCCUUCAAACUAUGUGUUCGGAGUUUCUUCCUUCUGGUGGGUUCGUGGUCUCGCUGGCUCAGGAGUGAAGCUACAGACCUUCACGUGUUACAAUGAACAUACUUGAACAUGUAUCUUUCUGCAACCUCCUCAUAUUUAAUGUGAUGCCAGUCAACAUCUUAACAGAAGUUUUCCAGAGAACUUGACAAGCUCCUGAAAUUCAAAUGAAAACAGGAACCAAGAACAGCCAAAAACCCUUUUGAAGACUAAUAAUAAGGAAAUCCUGCCAUAUCAAAAUACAUUUUAAUGUUCUAAUAAAGUAGUAUGGUAUUGUUAUAAGAGACAUAUCAAUACAAUAGAGAACUUAGGACACACAUAGGUUUGGUCUGUGAUAGAGGUGACAUUAUAGAUCAAUGGAGGAAAAAAAUGUUCAAUAAGUGAAUCCUCAUAUUGAAAAAGAUAAAAUUAGAUCUAAUGAUAUGGUUUGGUUGUGUCCCCACCCAAAAUCUCAUCCUGAAUUGUAAUCCCCAUAAUCCCCACACGUCAAGGGUGGGAUGAGGUGGAGGUAACUGGAUGAUGGGGAUGGUUUGCCCUAUGUUGUUCUCAUGAUAGUGAGUGAGUUCUCACGAGAUGUAAUGGUUUUAUAAGCAUCUGGCAUUUCCCCUGCUCGCUUCUCCCCCCCUGCUGCUCUGUGACUAGGUGCCUUCUACCAUGAUUCUACGUUUCCUAAGGCCUCCCCAGCCAUGCUGAACUGUGAGUCAAUUAAACCUCUUUCCUUUAUAA